UACGAGAGGUCCAAACGUUAUUCGGAAUUACUGGGCUUACAGAGUUCGUAGGCGGCUCUACAAGUGAGGUGUGAAAGCCCUCGGCUCAACCGAGGAACUGCGCUUCAAACUGUAGAACUAGAGGGAGAUAGAGGUGAGCAGAACUGAUGGUGGAGCGGUGAAAUGCGUUGAUAUCAUCAGGAAUACCGGAGGCGAAGGCGGCUUACUGGGUCUCUUCUGACGCUGAGGAACGAAAGCUAGGGGAGCAAACGGG
This 253-nucleotide ribosomal RNA is filed under the name uncultured bacterium. RNAcentral's name for it is "partial 16S ribosomal RNA". It matches the Rfam family "Bacterial small subunit ribosomal RNA", at positions 524 to 776 of the family's 1533-position model. The record is from RNAcentral.